AUUGAACGCUGGCGGCAGGCCUAACACAUGCAAGUCGAACGAGUGGCGGACGGGUGAGUAAUGUCUGGGAAACUGCCUGAUGGAGGGGGAUAACUACUGGAAACGGUAGCUAAUACCGCAUACCAUCGGAUGUGCCCAGAUGGGAUUAGCUUGUAGGUGGGGUAACGGCUCACCUAGGCGACGAUCCCUACCUGGUCUGAGAGGAUGACCAGCCAAACGGGAACUGAGACACGGGCCAGACGCCGACGGGAGGCAGCAGUGGGGAAUAGUGCACAAUGGGCGCAAGCCUGAUGCAGCCAUGCCGCGUGUAUGAAGAAGGCCUUCGGGUUGUAAAGUACUUUCAGCGGGGAGGCGUUACCCGCAGAAGAAGCACCGGCUAACUCCGUGCCAGCAGCCGCGGUAAUAC
This 406-nucleotide ribosomal RNA is filed under the name uncultured bacterium. RNAcentral's name for it is "partial 16S ribosomal RNA". It matches the Rfam family "Bacterial small subunit ribosomal RNA", at positions 29 to 526 of the family's 1533-position model. The record is from RNAcentral.